GAUUAGGUAGGAAUACCCGCUGAACUUAAGCAUAUCAAUAAGCGGAGGAAAAGAAACCAACAGGGAUUGCCCUAGUAACGGCGAGUGAAGCGGCAACAGCUCAAAUUUGAAAUCUGGCCCUAGCGGUCCGAGUUGUAAUUUGUAGAGGAUGCUUUUGGUUAGGUGCCUUCUGAGUUCCCUGGAACGGGACGCCAGAGAGGGUGAGAGCCCCGUACGGUUGGACACCGAGCCUCUAUAUAGCUCCUUCGACGAGUCGAGUAGUUUGGGAAUGCUGCUCUAAAUGGGAGGUAAAUUUCUUCUAAAGCUAAAUACCGGCCAGAGACCGAUAGCGCACAAGUAGAGUGAUCGAAAGAUGAAAAGUACUUUGAAAAGAGGGUUAAAUAGCACGUGAAAUUGUUGAAAGGGAAGCGUUUGCGACCAGACUUUUUCCAGGCGGAUCAUCCGGUGUUCUCACCGGUGCACUUCGCCUGGUUUAGGCCAGCAUCGGUUCUCUUAGGGGGAUAAAGGCCUGGGGAACGUAGCUCCUUCGGGAGUGUUAUAGCCCCUAGCGUAAUACCCUUCGGGGGACCGAGGAACGCGCAU
This 582-nucleotide ribosomal RNA is filed under the name Daldinia loculata. RNAcentral describes it as "eukaryotic LSU rRNA". It matches the Rfam family "Eukaryotic large subunit ribosomal RNA", at positions 9 to 600 of the family's 3401-position model. Lineage: Eukaryota; Fungi; Ascomycota; Sordariomycetes; Xylariales; Hypoxylaceae. The record is from RNAcentral.